Molecule: non-coding RNA, 322 nt
Organism: Chiloscyllium plagiosum (whitespotted bambooshark)
Lineage: Eukaryota; Metazoa; Chordata; Chondrichthyes; Orectolobiformes; Hemiscylliidae
Source: RefSeq, a predicted model, not a curated record
UGAUGCACAAGCAGUACUCUGAUCCUUGCAGUACUUGACUGGUCACAGCCUGUCAACCUAAAAAUGACCCAUUUAUCCUGACUGUUUGCUUUCUGCCUGUUAACCACUCCUCAUUCAAUGCGCUGUGACCCAGUUGAAUGGCAUUCCAAAACCGGCCUGCUCAGUUGUGAACCUUUACAGUUUCCACCCCCAGAAGCCAGAUCCUGAACCUCUGAAGAUGAGAGUACUAAGGCAAAGCUGCCUCCUGCAAUCUCCCACCAGCUCAGGGACUGACACCUCACUGGCAAUGUUAAUCUUCGAAAAUGUGGGACAGCAAUCUGGU